AGCUGCUCAACGCGAUUUCCCUUCGCGCUUCUCCGCACCGGGAUCCCCAGUCCCUCAGGUUCCGACAGACCCUCCUGUCAGGCCCAUUCUCCGGGCCCCCUCAGUUGCAGUGUUAAGAUCAACAGUGUUAAGAUUAAAGCCUUGUGAUGUGCUAGCCACUACGCUGAGGAUAUGCCGUGUACUAAAAUUCCUCAGGACUCCUCACAGCUGCCCUGUAAGGAAGCGGCCAUGGCCGGGUUCUAGCGAUGCGAGGCCGAGGCUCGGGGCGCUGAGUAGCCUAGCGCGUCGCCGAGGAGAGCUGGCACGUGAACCCCUUGUCGUUUGCCGUCAGAGGUGUUAUGUGGUGGCCCUCAUUCUCCAUGCAUGGAGCAGACUCUAGGAUCUGCAGUUACUGUAUGAUGAGCCCUUCUGAGUAUUUUGCUUGGGUGGACAGUUUAUGUGUCAGGUAUGUGUAUUUAUAAUUAAAAUCAAAUAUUAUUACAUAGGCUUUGCACCUGGCGAGGUAACAUUGAGAGUAGUUAAUCUCUAGACUGGAAUCCAUCUGGAAGACCACUCAAUAACUUGUGAUUAGCUGGACCUGGUGAUGCAAGCCUGGAGUCCCAGUUACCCGGAGGCUGAGGUGGGAAUAUCGCUUGAGACCAGGAGUUUGAGGCUACAGUGAGCUGUGAUUGUACCACUGCACUCCAGCCUGGGUGACAGUGCAAGACCUCAUCUCUUAAAAAAAACAAACAACUCAAAAAACCUCAUCAUUGAGCACCUAUGAUGUGCCAGCAACUGUACUCAGUGGUGGGGACUUGACGACAAACAAACCAGGGAUGGGAUCCUUGAGCAGUCACCAUCUGACAAGUGACUGGGAAAGAUGAAUAAUGCCCUUCACCAAGAUUCUUCUCUGAUCCACAAAUUCAAUUACCAAUUUAUUUGUUCACUGCUCUUAAACUUAAAUAUUUUUUAGUAGGUAAUAAAGACAUGUUUAAACACUCUUAACUUUUAACAAUUUCUUUGUAAGUACUGUAAUAGUCUUCUUUUCCUUUAAAAAGAAAAAAUACAAAAAGAAGGAAAAGGAAAAUCUAUUCAAAAUAAAGUAUUCCAGAUAUCUGA
Molecule: long non-coding RNA, 1098 nt
Filed under: Homo sapiens (human)
Lineage: Eukaryota; Metazoa; Chordata; Mammalia; Primates; Hominidae
Description: TWSG1 divergent transcript, transcript variant 2 (TWSG1-DT)
Source: RNAcentral